RNAcentral lists this small RNA (370 nucleotides) under Histoplasma ohiense. RNAcentral's name for it is "hypothetical lncRNA". Lineage: Eukaryota; Fungi; Ascomycota; Eurotiomycetes; Onygenales; Ajellomycetaceae. The record is from RNAcentral.
ACAAAAUAUGGCACGAAUCCUUAUCAUCAAUUGCGUCGUUUUACUCCUCCACAGCUAUUUGAUCAUUUAGCAGUGCCUAGAGAAAGAUAUUCCGUCAUUGCGGUCAAUUUUCGCUAGCGGUACCUUCGUCUUCUAAGGUGUACGGUUAGAUAGCUACUGCAUACAAAAAUAUGCCCUCCAGAACCAAUGUAUUCGGGAUACAUCAGUUCUUCUAUUCACCUCCCCGAUAAUAAUUUAGAUAUUUAAUUCAAACAUUUGUAUUAUGCUUUAAAGGGAUCUAAACUCCUCGUGCAAAUCGUUUUGAGUCGUGUCGCGCGAAUUGGGCUCCCUUCUCUUAAAAAGAUUAAUUUAAGUCACAAAUUUCUUCCAG